This 253-nucleotide ribosomal RNA is filed under the name uncultured bacterium. RNAcentral's name for it is "partial 16S ribosomal RNA". It matches the Rfam family "Bacterial small subunit ribosomal RNA", at positions 524 to 776 of the family's 1533-position model. The record is from RNAcentral.
UACGGGGGGGGUAAGCGUUGUUCGGAAUUACUGGGCGUAAAGGGCUCGUAGGCGGCCAACUAAGUCAGACGUGAAAUCCCUCAGCUUAACUGGGGAACUGCGUCUGAUACUGGAUGGCUUGGAUCCGGAAGAGGGAUGCGGAAUUCCAGGUGUAGCGGUGAAAUGCGUAGAUAUCUGGAGGAACACCGGUGGCGAAGGCGGCAUCCUGGGCCGGCAUUGACGCUGAGGAGCGAAAGCCAGGGGAACAAACGGG